CCUGGCUCAGAACGAACGCUGGCGGCGUGCCUAACACAUGCAAGUCGAACGAGAAAGGGGCUUCGGCCCUGAGUAAAGUGGCGCACGGGUGAGUAACACGUAGGUAACCUGCCUCUAAGAUUGGGAUAACCCGUCGAAAGACGAGCUAAUACCGGAUAAGACCACAGUCUCCUCGGAGAUCGAGGCCAAAGGUAGCCUCUACUUGUAAGCUAUCACUUAGAGAUGGGCCUGCGUACCAUUAGCUAGUUGGUGGGGUAAUGGCCUACCAAGGCAAAGAUGGUUAGCUGGUCUGAGAGGAUGAUCAGCCACACUGGAACUGAGACACGGUCCAGACUCCUACGGGAGGCAGCAGUGGGGAAUAUUGCGCAAUGGGCGAAAGCCUGACGCAGCAACGCCGCGUGAGUGAUGAAGGCCUUCGGGUCGUAAAGCUCUGUCGGAGGGAACGAAUGCUCCUGAGGUUAACAGCCUCGGGAAGUGACGGUACCCUCAAAGGAAGCACCGGCUAACUCUGUGCCAGCAGCCGCGGUAA
This 529-nucleotide ribosomal RNA is filed under the name uncultured delta proteobacterium. RNAcentral describes it as "bacterial SSU rRNA". It matches the Rfam family "Bacterial small subunit ribosomal RNA", at positions 18 to 523 of the family's 1533-position model. The record is from RNAcentral. Lineage: Bacteria; Deltaproteobacteria.